Molecule: transfer RNA, 76 nt
Filed under: Geobacter sp.
Lineage: Bacteria; Pseudomonadati; Thermodesulfobacteriota; Desulfuromonadia; Geobacterales; Geobacteraceae
Description: tRNA-Ala
Rfam family: tRNA
About the family: Transfer RNA (tRNA) molecules are approximately 80 nucleotides in length. Their secondary structure includes four short double-helical elements and three loops (D, anti-codon, and T loops).
Source: RNAcentral
GGGGCUGUAGCUCAGCUGGGAGAGCGACGCGUUCGCAACGCGUAUGUCGAGAGUUCGAUCCUCUUCAGCUCCACCA